Molecule: long non-coding RNA, 6002 nt
Filed under: Sus scrofa (pig)
Lineage: Eukaryota; Metazoa; Chordata; Mammalia; Artiodactyla; Suidae
Description: lncRNA (ENSSSCG00030063998.1)
Source: RNAcentral
AAUCAAGAUCAUCUUGAAAGAGCAUGGCUGUGGCUUAAUGGAUGGUGGAGAAACUUAGACAGAGGAGGAGACAAGGAAGUAAAUCAAUGAUCAGAUUCAGUUAUUUUUGAUUAACUGACAAGAAUGACUCUGACUUUCUGGAAAUUACAAAUGGCUUCGAACUCGACAUUCCUGCCUCAGCAACAGAGGAUAAAAAUCGUGAUGUGAUGGAUAUAGCACACAAGUGAGAAAUAUAAAUAUGGACUACAGGCUUCUAAAGAAUAAUUGAGCUUGCUGAGGAUCUGUGCCAGAUAUUGGAAAUGUCUAAGAUGUCAAGAGGUGAGUUCUUUGGUGUUUAUUGUUGUUGAGGUGACUUGUGUGUGUAUGUGUGUUUUGGAAAGAAUAGAGUAUAAUGAGAAGAUCAUCACAAUCUGUGUAAUAUGAAAAGCUGAGGCUACUGUUAUAAAUUAAGCUUUUUUUCAGAAAUGUUGUGUUAUCAAAACAGGAAUGAAAUUCUGAACAAUACACCUAAUAAGAUUAUCUUCUCAGUAGUUCCUGCUCAAUGGUAAUGAUACCAACUAGUACCCAUGAAUACAUGGGAUUGAUCCCUGGCCAUAGUCAGUGGGUUAGGGAUUCAGCAUUUCCAUGAGCUAUGGUGUAGGUCACAGACAUAGCUGAGACCUGGGGUUGCAGUGGUAUGGUGUAGGCCAGCAGCUGCAGUUCUGAUUCAACUCCUAGCCUGGGAACUUCUAUAUACCACAGGUGUAGCCCUAAAAAGAAAAAAAGAUCAUCUUCCAGGUUGAAAAAAGUAGUCUUUUGUAACAGGAAAUCAGUGAAAGAGGGGGUGAGAGUAAAGGCACUGUCAUUUAUUGAGCUUUACUAAUCAAUACUAAGAACUUUACAUGUGUUAUCCCUUUUAAUUCUCAUAACCAUCCUGUGAUAUACAUACAACAAUCAUCUCAAUUUUACACAUAGAAAACAAUCUUGACCAGGUUACUUUACUUGCCCAAAGUCAUAUAGCUACUAAGUUCAGUGUUGUGUUUUAGAUCUAGGUUUCUUUGACUUCUAACACUGAAUUUAGAGAGGACUAAAUACCUAAGAUAAAACAAUACUUAUACCAUUUAAUUCUUUGCUCAUGAAGAAUUGUACCUACACUUCAUUUUAGCUCUCCAAGGAAAGUUUUCAGAAAAUGCUUCAACAUCCCCAAUAUAUGCAACUGAAGAAAAAUUAGCAUUACAUAAAGAAGCCACCAUUCUCAAUAAUGAAACAGCUGUGGUUGUGAAUCUUUUUCCUUUUUUCUUCUGCAUUUUGCAUAUGUUAUGUGAAAAGAAAUGAAAUUUUCCAAAGCAGGUAUAUCCUUUGUAUGUGUAGAAAUGAAACCUUCCAUUUUGAGAUCUGUUAAUUUAUUUAGCUAAAGUAUAAAUGCACUUUGUUAUGGCUGAUUCUAGGUUCAUGUCACAUAAUUUGCACACCUGAUCAGUCUAAUGAAUUUAACUCUUUUAUUUUUACAAUUUAGAAAUGUUUAAGGGAGUUCCCGUCAUGGCGCAGUGGUUAACGAAUCCGACUAGGAACCAUGAGGUUGCGGGUUCGAUCCCUGCCCUUGCUCAGUGGGUUAACAAUCCAGCAUUGCCGUGAACUGUGGUGUAGGUUGCAGACGCAGCUCGGAUCCCGCGUUGCUGUAGCUCUGGCGUAGGCCGGUGGCUACAGCUCCGAUUGGACCCCUAGCCUGGGAACCUCCAUAUGCCGCGGGAGAGGCCCAAGAAAUAGCUAAAAAGACAAAAAAAAAAUAAAUAAAGAAAUGUUUAAGUAGCUUCAAAGAAAGGUGGAAAUAAUAGUUUUUAAGUUAUAGCUUUUAGGACUUCUUCCAUGUGGUAUUCAUUAACUUUAAUUAUAUCUUUCAGAAUCAUUAAGUAUGCUAGAAUUUUAGGCAGCUAUAAUAUAGGGGCAAGAUCUUUGAUUUGAAGCCAGAGAAUCUGAGUUAAAUUCUCAGUUCUGCCUAUUUGUCACCAUGUAAAUUUGAGUAAUCCAUCUAAUCUCUCUUAGCCUCAAUUUUCUCAUCUAUAAUAUGGGGAUAAUAAUCCUUACCUCAUAUAGUUUUUGUGAAAAUAAUUUGAGAUAACAAAUGUAAACAUAUUUUGUAGACAAUAAAAUUCUAUUGCAACAUCAGGGGGAAUGUAAUUAAAUAAACAUUAAAGAACACUUACCACUGUGCCAGUAAGUAACUUUUUUCACUUUGUUGCUCCCAGAAAGACCAAGACCUACAUAUCCUGGAGAAAGAGUAGCAUGCCUCCAGUUGGAUUAUCUUUCCUGGCUCCUAUUUAUUGCUCCUGGAUCCAUGCAGGAGUUGCCAAUUUACUUGCAGGAAGGUUAAAAAAUGUAUGGAAGAAUUACCUCCUAGGUUACUUUCUUCAUGAAAAGUGAUCUUUCUUCAAGGAGAAUCCUGCACAACAAUGCAUAUCAAUAUCUUGAUUCAGGCCAAUAAAAGGAAAUUUGGGGAUGGAAGUAAUUUCAUAACAAAAUUCCAAAGGACCAUUGUGAUGAGGCACUGGGCUGGAAGAAAUAGGACCAGGUUUCAAAUUCUGGAUCCAGUACUGACUAAUAGUAUAAUUGAAAGCAAGUCCCUUUUCCCUUGUGGGCCAAAGUCCCCCUUUAUACAAUGAUGUGGAAUGGAACAGAUUAGCUCUAAAGAUCAUCUUAUACCUCAAAGGGAAAAGAAAAAUUACGCAAAUUGUUUCUGCAUUGUGUUAUAAUAAACAUUUCCCUACAUUAGUAAAUUUAUUGGGAUAUAAUUAAUGUGCACCUUUAUAUUUUUAAAAUGUUUAAGAUCUAUAAUCUCAUUUGAAUUUCAACAUAAUGAUGGGAUUUCAUCAUUUAUCUUCACAUAAUAAAUUAAGAAACUGAGACUCAAAGGUUUGCACAAAGUCACAUAGCUAUUACACAAUAGAAAUCCAAAUCUGGUCUGUCUCUAAAACUAAAGUUUUUUCUACAACACAAAGCCACCUAAAUGAUUUUUUCUAGGCUUUGAAUAAGUAGAAUGGAUCUAGAAAAUGAAUUUAAAGAAAUAAUUACUGUUUUUCAUGUAAAAUAAAAGUAAAGAAUUAAGACAAUUUUUAAUUAGUCAUAUUUGGUACUGAAACUGCUAACCACAUUCCAGCAAUUGCAUAUACAAUAUAAUGUAUCUUUCAGAGAUUUAUGGAUUUUAGAAGAUUAAAGAUUAGUAUUUGUAACAUACUUUAAGAUCAAUAGAAUAAAAUGGCUAUUUAAAUAUAAUAUUUAGAGCUCUUGCCAUCCAAAAUUCAACUGAAAGGGAAAUAAAUGAUGGUAUGUAAGAAACUAUCCAUUUAUCCAGGGAGAAUCUAUCACAUUUACUGUCCUAGUGAAACAGCUAUACUCACUACUUUUACUUUCCAGUUCUCCUUCCAUUCCACCACCUACACAAAUAAAUAUAAUUCAGGCUUUAAGGAGUUUAAAGUGAGUUAUCUCUGUCAAUGAGUAGAGUGGCUGCUUGUUAUUGGUGUUAUAGCAACAACAUAAGCCACCAAUGGAGAGUUUAUAUUGUGGUGGAGGAAAAGUAUUUUUUAUAUGACCCAAGAGCAAGUCUGGGAGUUGAGGCUUAUAUGCCAUCCAAAGAUAAGGAAUGAGAUAGGGACCUGGUGCUUCAAAGGGGAGGAAUGUAAUUCAUAGGACAGUAAGAAGAGCAGAUUAGAUAUUUUACCCCAUAAACAGAUAGAUCAGUCAGAUAAAAGUUACCUCUUGUAAUAGCUCUAUCUCUGAGCCAGCCCUCUAUCUAAAUUAUUUUAGGCAAUUAAGACAAAUGUAGCUUUUUCUUAAGUCAGCUUGGUCUUGAUUGCCUUUAGCUCAAAAUAAUCCACAUGUCAAAAUGGCAUUAUUUGAGGUCAUAUAUUCUGCUCUUUUUCAAUAUCUACAAUCAUUAAUACUAAUGAUUUCAGAAAAAUGUGCAGUUUCGGGGGGGGGCAAUAAAUUAGAGAGAUCCCAUUUAUGUGAUGAGUAAAUUGUCUGUAAAUGUGGAAGCAAUUAAUUUUCUAAUUAGCAUGCUAAAGUUUUAAUCAGAUCCAGCAAAAAACUUUUAGGAAUAUUAGAUUAAAAGACUCUGGAAGAUGAGCCUAUAUGCAUUAUGAAGAAGCCCAUUCUUCCAAAACCAUGCAUUCCAACCCUUUUUAGUGCAUUGAAAACUAGGUUUCCAAUAUCUACUAUGAACUCAACUUUGUUGGGGAAGCAACAGAGGUUCAAGAUACAGGCACUUCUUUCCUGGGGGUUAUAGCUUGAUGGGGGACAUGGAAAAAUACUUCACAUCCGUUAUCUUGUUGAUAAGCAAAAGUAGUUUGUGAGGCAGGUUUUCCUCAUUAUACAGAUAGGAAGACUCAGAUUAAGAGAACUUUCUCAAAAUCACACAGCUACUAUGUGGCAAGGUCAGGAUUCAAGCCCAUUGAUUGCAAAAUCUAUACAUUUCUUUGCACUACACACAGAAUGAGAUAUAUGAAGAACAAAUAACACCAUAGUAGCAAAAUAUAUAGAACAUAAUUUAAGUACAAUAGGAAUUUAUAAAAGGAUGAUAUGAAUUCAAGUUGGAGAUUAGUCCAUUUUCCUCAUAAAAAUUAUAUACCAGAUUGUCUAAUUAGAGAAAAUGGGGGAAUGAACAACCCUCUUUCUGGAUCUGUUUUUUCAUUUGUAGAACAGGGAUGACACAGUCCACCACACAGUACCAUUGCUAUGAUUGAAUAAGAUAGCACUUGUAAGAGAACUUAGCAAAUUGCAAAUCAUUACAAUGUAAAGUAUUAUUAUUAUUUGUUAAAGCAUGAAAGUGUAAAUCAUGUGAUGUGUGUAUACAGAUGAUAGUGAGGAUACUAUUUUAAGGAUGGAUAACUCUCCCACUACCAACUCAGAGUACUGUAAAAUCUUAGGGUAAGGACCAGCCUCAAAGGUCAUCUGAUCUAACACCUUUGUUUGUAAAAAAGAAAUCUGGCAAAGAAAAAAUUUGGUAUCCUUGAAAGGAACUUAUCUGUAUCUUCAUAUACUCAUUUCUCUCCCAAUUUCUGUUAAUUUUAAAAAUAGUUUUGCAGAUCUUUUCAUCAGACUCAUAUGUUGACUUGAAUUCACCUUUUCUUUUAAAUAAUUUAAUAAUGUUGAUUGAAGUAAAAGUGUUGUGUUUAUUUCAAUGGAGACGAUUCCUUAUUUUUCUAAUUACCAUCUUCCAAAAAUGUGGAAACUGCAAGAUAGGAAGGCAGUCUGUUUAGUUCUACUCAUUGUUUCUGAAUCAUGCUCUGAAAAGCAGAAUCCAGGGUCUUUUAAUGCCUAAAUAAAAACCCAGAUUUCUUGAUGAAGAGUUUCUAGCCCAAAGCACAGAAAAGGGAGAGAAGAACCUACAGCUUUAUCAUUCAGCUCACUUAAUCUGGAUGUGAAUCUCUACCUGGAUGCUAAUUAAUCUCAGGGAAGACCCUUCCAAUAAUUUAAAUCAGGUUGGGCUUUAUAGUAGGUAAUUAUUUCAAGGCACCCUUUAGUAUAUAUGGGUUAAUUACUAAUGUAAUGUUAGUCAAUUUUUUUUGUAACUCUAAACAAAACUUUCAAGGAUACAACAUUAUAAAUGUAGUCAACCAAAUCAUUAAUUAUCUUCAGAUGGGGAAAACAAGUGACAUUCAUUUUCUUGUUUGUAUGCUUUUUUCUAUUCCUAUUUUUCUAUAGCAAGCAUAUAUUAUUUGUAUAUUUUUAAUGAUUUAUUGAGGUUCACCUAAAUAAAUUCACAUAACAUAAUAGAAACCAUUUUAAAGUUGGGCAAUUCAUUGACUUUUAGUAUUCUCACAAUAUUUCAUGACCAUUUCUACCUAGUUGAAAAAUACCCCUUUAAGGUGUUUUACCUAUUAAUCAGUUUCUCCAAUUCCCUUCUACCCUUAGCCCCUGGAAGCUACCAAUCUGUGCUCUGUACCUAUGUAUUUAUACUGAAUAUUCCCUAUAUAAUAUGAGUGUUUCACUUACAUAGGAUAAUACACUGUAUCUGGCUUCUUUCA